RNAcentral lists this ribosomal RNA (253 nucleotides) under Phocaeicola coprocola DSM 17136. Its description in RNAcentral is "partial 16S ribosomal RNA". It matches the Rfam family "Bacterial small subunit ribosomal RNA", at positions 524 to 776 of the family's 1533-position model. The record is from RNAcentral. Lineage: Bacteria; Pseudomonadati; Bacteroidota; Bacteroidia; Bacteroidales; Bacteroidaceae.
UACGGAGGAUGCGAGCGUUAUCCGGAUUUAUUGGGUUUAAAGGGAGCGCAGACGGGAGAUUAAGUCAGUUGUGAAAGUUUGCGGCUCAACCGUAAAAUUGCAGUUGAUACUGGUUUCCUUGAGUGCAGUUGAGGCAGGCGGAAUUCGUGGUGUAGCGGUGAAAUGCUUAGAUAUCACGAAGAACCCCGAUUGCGAAGGCAACUUGCUAAACUGUAACUGACGUUCAUGCUCGAAAGUGUGGGUAUCAAACAGG